UAGAAAAACUUCUAUGUUUUGUACAAAUUUUUAAUACUUAGAAAAACUACAUGUUCAAGUUUUUCAAAUUCGAGGAUUAAGCUUGAUGUUAGUCUUCUGUUUUUUCUCUUUUAGUCUAUACUUAUCACAUUUUUUUUUGACAAGCGGGUCGGAGGCGCGCGCACGCGUAAGGCGGCUCGUCGAGCGCCCGUCCGUCCUGGUGGCGCGGCCAGCCGCGGGUGGCCGCCGCUCCGCGCCCAGGGGGAGAGGGGGAGGAGGAGGAGGCUACGACCGGGUCGCAGGCCCAAUCGCCGAGCGGAGGAGAGGGCGAGCCUCGUGAGGCGCGACGAGCUGGACGGAGGGGAGUCAGUCCGCCCAUAUCGAGCCACAUAGGGGAGGCAGGCGUUGCCGCCGAACGGCUCGUUGCGCCGGCCGGCCCUCGUCGCUGCCCCGAGCACAACGGAGCGAGCGAGCGAGAGCCGCUGCCGCGUUCGUUCGUCGCUGGUUGCGUAAGAAGAAGAACCUACUGGUAGGCGUAGAAGAGGCGGUGUCCAUUAAAGAGGCUUGUGUAGUCCUCGUCUCGAGGUAGCGACAGAAGAAGGACUAUCAAAGGGGCAUACACACGUUCCUUGACUGGGGCACUCGGCGUUGAGUUGUCCGGGAACUCAAAGAGCCUAGAAAGGAUCGGUCCUACUACGACCACGCAGAGGUAGCUAGUUAUGUAUGAGGAGGUGGAAUUGAUGUUCAAGUGUCUAGUGUGUGCCAUACCAUACUUCAGACUUGUGUCGAAACUACGAAGACUUAACAGUUUUAACUGAUGUAAAUCGGCGCGAACGCAGCACAUUUAGAACGGAAGGAGACGUGUUGUCACCGACAGUUGUUGAUCGUGUUCAGUGUACUCAGAACAAGUGGAAGUACACAGAAACUACGACGUAGCUGUUAAAUCAGCGCGCAAGUGUUAGCCGCAGCACAGGUAGAGCGGAAGUACACGUGGUCGCCGAGAGUUGAUGAUUGUGUUCAGUUUUUUCAGAACGUGUUCGAACAAGGGACACAGUGGGUCCGUGUCCACCGCAAGGGAGGAGGUAACUACUUAACACAAUUGCUCUUAACAUACUUAUAACGAUGAAGUGUAUACUACAACCAAGGUUCUUUUUUGUCUCCAGUCGUUCAGAACGUGUUCUGGUGUGUUCAGUCGUUUGGACAUAAGUUCUACAACUACAUACCGUGCUUGCGUCUGGUGGUUAAGUACUGGUUCACCUUAAGGGAUAAGAGGAAAAACUGUUUUAGAUAGCACUGCACGAAGCGAACCAACAGCUGUUACGUAAGAUCUUGAAUAAUAUGCGUGCUUUCAGAAGGCCUCAAGGGUGCCCUCUCUCGCCACUUCAGAAGGCCAACGAGACGUUUAGUGUAGAAACUAUACGAAGACGAUGUGUUAUGUCCCUCCCACGAGAUAAGAGAGGGUGGAAAACCCAAGUUGUUUGUUUUAAGACAAUCGGUCGUACGCCGACCACGACAACAACCACACCAACACCUCGAACCGUGGGUGACGGUACUUGUGGUUCCACCGUAGACGUCGGGGACUAGGAGGUAGACGGGGAUCGGAGCGCGUGACGGGGUUUUGGACACCCCUACACUCGUAGAGCAUGGGGAAGCCGCAGCCCGGUCCGACGAAGGCCGCGCCGAAGCUGGAGUAGACGCUGUGGUGGUGGUUCGGAGGGUUCUAGAAGGAUCCGUUGUGGUGGUGGGUCCACUAGUCGGAGAAGGGAAGUCCUUGGCAGGAACGGAGGUAGUACAUGUGGUAGGGGUACCACGGCCCACAACCGUGGAUGUUGGACAGAACCCUCAGAGGUCCCUCCUUGGAGUUGUAGCGCUGGAUGUUGAUGGACCCCAAGGAGCCGACGCCGUAGCCCCAGAUGGACAUGGUGGGACUGUGCCCACUGGAGCAGCCGGUGACGUGCUAAUUCACGCGGAGGUACCGCUCGAACGAGGAGCACUGCCUUCCACCUCCCUAGACGUUACCGUACCCGACGACGUGGCAGUGAAAGGGGCACCGCAAGGCUCCGAAAUCCCACUGGUAGCACUUCUUGUUGCUCUGCCAUGGCGUCGGAAAACGAUUAUAGUGGUAGUUCCGAAAGAACAGUAAGGCGGGCAUAUACAAAGCAUAGCGCCUGGAAAACAGACUAUUCUAUUUACGCUCGUGACAACCACGAAGGAGACGACGCAUGGAGAGCUGACACUAGUGUCUAUUCGGGUUAACGCGAUUUCGAGCCAGCCUACUAUUCCGCGCCAUACGGACACCGUCAUCGUUAACACACUUACACUGUUUACCUCCGAUGAGGACAUGGACGAGACCGUCAAGACUACUACCAUUAGGGAUGUAAGAACUACUAACGUUUGUUCCAUGAGUGGGAGGAAGGUGUGGAUCAAAAAAAAAAGUAAACAGACGAGUAGGUUAAUAUACUUAAUAUAAAAAGUUUUUUCAUGAGGGAGGCAAGGAAAAAUAUUCUGCAAAACCUCUCGGUUGUAACUCGACAAAACACGAGACAGACUUAAGAGAUUUGCAGAAUAUUUUCCCUUGUCUCCCUCAUAUACUUAACACACUACACAAUUCUUGUAAGACCUUUACUAUCAGUCCCUAAACUUGUUGUUUACCACAUAUUUCACGAAGUAAACAGGUAACUAACAAUAGAGUAAUGUAUACUAACCAAUGACUAUAAAGAAGUGACUUUGUCUCAUAUUAGUAUGGGGGUUUUACUUGACAAGAUCUAGUACACCAUCGUGUUUGUAAGGAAAGGGGAAACCCAAACUUGGUCCCACAAUACGAUGGUCCUCUAAAGUUGACUUAACGCGUAGGUUAGCGUGAGAAUAACCGUCCGGUGGACAUUUUAUACUUCACUGUUUAUAAAGUAAUCUACUACCUGACGAUAUACAAUUAUUCGAAAGUCUCAAACUUCUACGGUUGUACUUAAUAGAUAGUUAUAUGAUGCCACCGAGGCCUAUGAAACCAGUCGUCGAUCAUAUACCUAACCUAUUCAGACUAAAUAGACUCCUUAAACCACAGACCUCCACCAGACGCCGGUUAGACUGUACACUUUUACGUUUUUUGCUGUCACGUAUACGUACGGCAUCGCGCUUAUCACUCACAUAACCACAGUGUGUACCUUUUGAGAUGUAACCAAUGGCUACGUUCACGAGAGGACCGAAACUUCCUUUAGGAAUACAGGUUUCACCUACGUGUCUAUAACUGCUCACGGACAAUGGGUUAUCGACAUUACCCUGUACGAUAUUGGACUUUCCUUCGAAGGCAACAACGGGAGUACCGUACAAGAAACUAGGUCAUCCUUUUGUCACGUGAGGGCUAUUCGCCGUUUUAGAAUAAAACCCCCAAAGAUGACCCUAGCCGUCACCAAAACCUCACGAUCGAGAACGUGACCCACGCUAAUAUGAUCACUCCUCUAACUUCUCUCCGCGAGUUUCCUUUUAGGCUUCCCGUAAGAAGUCUUUUUUGUUUCCGGACGAGGACCUCGUCGACUAGAGUAGGUGGUCACUUUCGCAGUGAGUGUCGUGUUCCUAUAAAAGGAACCUUCUCGAUCUCUUUCGUUGGUUGUUGAAACUGGGCUGCGCACACGAGCCCGUGCCUCCGGUACCGUGGCAGAUGUUCCCCUAAAAUAGGCUGGUCGCCCACCACCGGUAGUUCUUCAGGUUCUACCACCUCGUCUCGCUCUAGCUGGUCAAGCAGUUGCUCCACAGGUAGGACAGGGUCUAGUAGGUGGCGUUGCACCACUUCGAGAAGCCCACGACGGAGCUCAGGCUCCACGGCGAAGAGCACAUGCUCAAGUAGAGGUUGCCGUGCGAGGUACUGGAGGAGGUGCCGCUGGUCCCACGGUUUACGAACGACUGCACCCUGCUGGCAUAGUCCCAACGAGACCUCCGACGUCCCCGCGAACGGAUGGAGGUGAGCAGACGGCGCUACGGCUAGAAGGUGUCCCUACACUUCAGACGGUUGUAUGAUAACCUACUGUGAAAGUGGUGGUUCCAGAGCCUGAAGCCGCGGAGGUCCAGGUAGAGGUAGCUGGUCUGAGUGCACCAGUGGUAGCACGUCCCCUGUAAGCCGAUGGAUCUGGGUCUCAUGAUAAUGUGACCCGUCGAGUGGCUCUUCUCGCUGCAGAUGUCGAAGCCGCACUAUGACCAGCUCGAGAAUUGUUCCUUCUUCGGUUAAAAAGAGUUGUCAGAGCCGCUCGUUGUCUUGAACACGGUAAUGAAGGAACCUGCCGACUUUCUGCUUUGGCAGUACCUAUAAUAGCUAAGAGUUCAACACCUGCUCCGGUCGGUCUCGCUCUAGCUGCUCUAGCGCAGCCAGCGGCACUACACGAACUCCUGAUCUCCGCCCGUCUCCGGAUUCUACUUUCUCCACCUCAAUUCCGACGUCGAAGACGCUCGGUCCUCUGCUGGAGCAUCUUGUGUGCUUGUCCUCGACGCUUCCCUGCCGCUGUGGUUCGGUAGCAACAGUUGAGGUUACUUCAGGUCUAGGUGAAGACACCGGUACCGGUUCUUGCAACUCGAACCACAGCAGCGACAAUUAAGCAGCAGCGUCCGAGAGUGCUCCACGAUGAGGUACCUCGUUCUCUACCGUCGAAGUAGUCUCAAAGGAGCAAUCUACGUCUUAGACAAUGCUUCUCCCGAAGGGUCACACGGCAAAACAAAUAGCUCUGACAACGUCGUGGACCUAAAAUCAAGCUCCCACAGUGUUAAGUUAGGGACAUUGAUCACCACUGAUCACCUUCUUACACACGUGUUUAAGUCACAUUCUUACAGGUGUGGCCUAAGUCACAUUUUCAGAAUAAUGGAAAAAAAAAUGGGGAGUUUAAAACCAUCGGUCCUUAAUUGUCACAUGUCUUUUUCUUAAAGGACAACUAAACGGGAUAACAAAUCGACGACUUGACGUGGUAGACAAACCUAAACCCGUAUAACCAAAGUGG
RNAcentral lists this ribosomal RNA (4958 nucleotides) under Triticum aestivum (bread wheat). RNAcentral describes it as "partial small subunit ribosomal RNA". The record is from RNAcentral. Lineage: Eukaryota; Viridiplantae; Streptophyta; Magnoliopsida; Poales; Poaceae.